UCUCCCAGGAGCAUGUCUGUCUGAGUGUCGGU
This 32-nucleotide ribosomal RNA is filed under the name Umimayanthus parasiticus. RNAcentral's name for it is "partial 5.8S ribosomal RNA". Lineage: Eukaryota; Metazoa; Cnidaria; Anthozoa; Zoantharia; Parazoanthidae. The record is from RNAcentral.